CUCCAUGGUUUCUGUCUCCUCUUAGAGGGCUGUGGAAGUUUGAUCUCUGUUUUUGUCUCCGGUACGGCAGGAUCUUUUUUGUUCUUGGAUGCUGGCCUUGUUUGAGUCCUUAAGGCUGGGUCCACGCUGGGUUUUCUCCGAAAGAAACUUUUCUCUGCAUCCCUGACUGUUGUACUGGUGUUGUCAGUGAGCACAAGCCCGAAUGGCAUGCAGAUUGUUUUCAUUUGCACCGAAGACAGUCUUCGGCUCUACAAAUAAGAAAGCAUCUUUGAACACAUCCUUUCUCUACUGAGCUGAGUACUCCUGGUUUCCAGCUCUGCGGUGCACAUAGGCACUCAGCCAGCAAGAUCAGAGUGGGACUUACAAGGUGCCUGACUUUGCAUCUUUAACAACAUGGAGAGGAUGUUAUUGCUGCUCCUCUCUCCGCUAGACCUUGCCAAGUUAGAAGAAAAGUUAAAUUUCUUUAAUAAGCGCGGAGGUAGUAACAUUUGGGAGGGAACUUUUGUAGCAACUUUGCAACACAAUAUUCUUUUAAAGUAAACCUCUUCUGCUUGUUUUGAGAGUUCAGCUCCAGACACCCACCCCCUUCUGCU
Molecule: long non-coding RNA, 593 nt
Organism: Oxyura jamaicensis (ruddy duck)
Lineage: Eukaryota; Metazoa; Chordata; Aves; Anseriformes; Anatidae
Exons: 3
Source: RefSeq, a predicted model, not a curated record